CAGCCGCCGCGGUAAUACAGAGGGUGCGAGCGUUAAUCGGAUUUACUGGGCGUAAAGCGUGCGUAGGCGGCUUCUUAAGUCGGAUGUGAAAUCCCUGAGCUUAACUUAGGAAUUGCAUUCGAUACUGGGAAGCUAGAGUAUGGGAGAGGAUGGUAGAAUUCCAGGUGUAGCGGUGAAAUGCGUAGAGAUCUGGAGGAAUACCGAUGGCGAAGGCAGCCAUCUGGCCUAAUACUGACGCUGAGGUACGAAAGCGUGGGGAUCAAACAGGAUUAGAUACCCCAGUAGUCCCUGUCUCUUAUAC
RNAcentral lists this ribosomal RNA (301 nucleotides) under uncultured bacterium. RNAcentral's name for it is "partial 16S ribosomal RNA". It matches the Rfam family "Bacterial small subunit ribosomal RNA", at positions 509 to 807 of the family's 1533-position model. The record is from RNAcentral.